Molecule: unclassified non-coding RNA, 253 nt
Filed under: uncultured Pseudobdellovibrionaceae bacterium
Lineage: Bacteria; Pseudomonadati; Bdellovibrionota; Bdellovibrionia; Bdellovibrionales; Pseudobdellovibrionaceae
Description: uncultured Bdellovibrionaceae bacterium contains 16S-23S intergenic spacer region
Rfam family: Bacterial small subunit ribosomal RNA
Source: RNAcentral
UACGGAGGGUGCAAGCGUUGCUCGGAAUCACUGGGCGUAAAGCGUACGCAGGCGGCUCGUCAAGUCGGGUGUGAAAGCCCGGGGCUCAACCCCGGAACUGCAUUCGAAACUGGCGGGCUUGAGUACGGGAGAGGGAAGCGGAAUUCCUGGUGUAGAGGUGAGAUUCGUAGAUAUCAGGAGGAACAUCAGCGGCGAAAGCGGCUUCCUGGCCCGAUACUGACGCUCAUGUACGAAAGCGUGGGGAGCAAACAGG